GUUGACCUCGGAUCAGGUAGGACUACC
This 27-nucleotide ribosomal RNA is filed under the name Cordyceps takaomontana. Its description in RNAcentral is "partial 28S ribosomal RNA". The record is from RNAcentral. Lineage: Eukaryota; Fungi; Ascomycota; Sordariomycetes; Hypocreales; Cordycipitaceae.